GACGAACGCUGGCGGCGUGCUUAACACAUGCAAGUCGAACGGAAAGGCCCUGCUUUUGUGGGGUGCUCGAGUGGCGAACGGGUGAGUAACACGUGAGUAACCUGCCCCUGACUUUGGGAUAACUUCUGGAAACUGCGGCUAAUACCGGAUACGAGCUCCUUCUGCAUGGUGGGGGUCUGGAAGGUUCUGCGGUUGGGGAUGGACUCGCGGCUUAUCAGCUUGUUGGUGGGGUAGUGGCUUACCAAGGCUUUGACGGGUAGCCGGCCUGAGAGGGUGACCGGCCACACUGGGACUGAGACACGGCCCAGACUCCUACGGGAGGCAGCAGUGGGGAAUAUUGCACAAUGGGCGGAAGCCUGAUGCAGCGACGCCGCGUGCGGGAUGACGGCCUUCGGGUUGUAAACCGCUUUCGGCUGGGACGAAGCGUGAGUGACGGUACCGGGUAAAGAAGCACCGGCUAACUACGUG
RNAcentral lists this ribosomal RNA (468 nucleotides) under uncultured bacterium. Its description in RNAcentral is "partial 16S ribosomal RNA". It matches the Rfam family "Bacterial small subunit ribosomal RNA", at positions 28 to 507 of the family's 1533-position model. The record is from RNAcentral.